RNAcentral lists this unclassified non-coding RNA (336 nucleotides) under soil metagenome. RNAcentral's name for it is "partial contains 5.8S ribosomal RNA, internal transcribed spacer 2, and large subunit ribosomal RNA". The stretch from base 1 to 120 matches the Rfam family "5.8S ribosomal RNA", at positions 35 to 154 of the family's 154-position model. The record is from RNAcentral.
GAUGAAGAACGCAGCGAAAUGCGAUAAGUAAUGUGAAUUGCAGAAUUCUGUGAAUCAUCGAAUCUUUGAACGCACAUUGCGCCCGCCAGUAUUCUGGCGGGCAUGCCUGUUCGAGCGUCAUUUCAACCAUCAAGCCCCAGGCUUGUGUUGGGGACCUGCGGCUGCCGCAGGCCCUGAAAACCAGUGGCGGGCUCGCUGUCACACCGGGCGUAGUAGAUUUUAUCUCGCUCUGGGCGUGCUGCGGGUUCCGGCCGUUAAAAAACCCUUUUAACCCAAGGUUGACCUCGGAUCAGGUAGGAAUACCCGCUGAACUUAAGCAUAUCAAUAAGCGGAGGA